CAUGAUCUCGUCACUCCCGUGACAGUGAAGCGGGGAGAGCUCAAAUUUGAAAUCUGGCGCUUUCGGUGAAGAGAGGGAAUUGGAGAUGUUUUUCGGGGUGAUUUUCUAAAAUAAGUGGGAAACAGGUCAUAAAGGUGCGCACCUCCGAUGUUCUGAUCUCAUUCUUGUGUAUUUUUC
Molecule: ribosomal RNA, 177 nt
Filed under: uncultured fungus
Lineage: Eukaryota; Fungi
Description: partial 26S ribosomal RNA
Source: RNAcentral